Molecule: transfer RNA, 68 nt
Filed under: Anolis milleri (Miller's anole)
Lineage: Eukaryota; Metazoa; Chordata; Lepidosauria; Squamata; Anolidae
Description: tRNA-Gln
Source: RNAcentral
AGAAAACCAGGACUCGAACCUGCACUUGAUAACUCAAAAUUAUCUGUACUUCAUUACACUAUUUUCUA